AAAGCUGCAAAAAAAUUAAAAGCUGCAAAAAGUGCUAAAAGUUAACUAACUGCAGCUAAUUUUAUGUACAUGUUUUGUAGUAAAUCAGUGGGACUGUUCCUGCGGUGUGCCUUAAUUAUAUAGGUGCGAGAGCGAGCGACCUGUUAGUGCGUAAGUAUGCGUGCGCGCCUGUGUGAGUGUGUGUGUGGCGGGAGGGAGCGAGAACGUGGUCACGCUUGGUUGACUCCAGGGGUCACAGGUCAAUGCUAGUUAAUAAGAAGUGCUGUCAGGGGUCUCGGAGGUCAUCCCUCAGGGGCUGACCCUCUUGUCAGCGACACUUAAUGUGUGCGCAGUCUUUACCUUGUCAAGUCAAACAAGCAGCCCAGCCUCUCAAUGGGUUUAAAACAGCCACUUUUGACCCAGGGGUUGUGACCCUCCCAUCUCACUCGGUGGGGAGUAAUGAAGCAGUCCUUUAGGCACGUGGAGGGGUCAGAGGUCAGACCAUCUCAAAAGGCCUGGGUCGGCUUUUUAUUAGAUGUCGGAUCGGUGUCUGCGGAUCGCGCCGGCUUAGAGGAACUCCGAGAUGAUUGAUAGUGAUUCCUGGGUACUUGGCCAUUUCUGCAUCUAAUGGUCUUUAUUGAGUGCUCUCUGUUCCUGUGAGCCUGACAGGAUUUAGUCCUAAGUGACGUGAUCCUGAUUUUGUCUCCCGAAGCACACUUGUUGUGGAGAUUCUCAGGUGAAGAACUGCUUUGUUGAUACGAUUUGGGCAGUUCUAAUCAUUUAUGUUAUAUUUUUAAUUCUAAAUCUAAUAUAAUGCACAAAAUAACUGAAAAUAUUACUUCUUUGUUUACUGAGUGUAUGCUUCUCGUCUAUAAGUACUCACUGUUGGCUUUUUGAUACGUUAGAAUUUUAGCUGGGGGUGUGCUUAAAUUAUUGAAAAACUAUACUGGUAUUAUCAAAAUUAGCUCAAAAUAAAUUUCUAGCUAGAUAUAAAGCUCUUCCAUGUUGAGCUAGAUUAAUCAAGUAGCGUGCGAUUAAGCCAUUUUUACUGUUAAACUCCUAACAUCCUUGUGUAAGAUACUGUUAGCCAACAUAAUUAAAAUUUAUUAAACGUAUAAGAAAAAGAAAAAACACACAGCAAGAAACAUUGUUCCACAAUCAGUUUUAUUUCUUCAAAAAUAACAAUACAGUAUAUUUUCAGUCGUCGGCGUUCGUUAUGACAGUAAAGGGUUAGCCGACUGUGUCUGUGAGAUGGCGGUAGCGGCCAUUUUGUGUUAUACAUUGCCUGAGUGUGGGAGAGUGAAUUGGUUUGAAUGCUUAGAAGUUAACUCAGACAGUCCACUUGUCCACUGCAGCUUGUUUGCUAUAAAAAAAAACACUGUGCCAUUCCGUUGUAUGUGAAGGCUCAUUUUAAUAGAGCUGAACGUGGAUAUAAUCAGUAGCCUAUUGUAAAUGAAUGUAGAUGUCUGCUCUGCAUGCUAAAGAGUCUGUGUGGAGUCAGGGUUAGCAUUAGCAGUUAGCUGCUCGGAAUGUUCUUUAUUGUCUUGUUGCUUAAUAUCUCAUGCUCGCAUUUUCUUACAAGUGUGAUUGAUUAAAUUUGAGUUAAAUGCCAUACGUGCUGCAACACCUGUAAUACAAGCUUGAACUUAGCACUCGAGCUUUUUUCUGUUUUCCGGAGGUUUGUUAACAAACGUUUGGACACCAAUGCUAGUCAGUACAGCUAAUGCAAUGAGUGUUUAGAAGUGUCAGGCCGUGUCGAAGCUCAGGUUGUUAGUAGUUGGCUGGCAGUGUGUAAGCAGAAGUGUUUCAUGUCCUUAAGUGACCCUUGCGCAUGGCACCGUGCGACAUAUAUGUGUAUUGGAAGUAUGCAAUUAAAUAUAUAUACGUAUUUUUCAUCUGCCCCCUAGAAAUAGGGCUGUGGAUUGGUUAGGAGCUGUGGCGAGAUGUGACGUAGAGAGAACCCCUUCACCGACAAGGUUUCUGCUCUUGUCUCUCUUUCUCUGAACAUUAUGGUUCAACACACUCCAGAAAGAACGAUCCGUUCAAGGCUCUAACCCACUCUUCUUUCAGCCCGUUCUGUUUCACAGCUUGGGCUGAAUCCUCGGAUCUUCGGACUCUGCCCAUCAAGUAAUGUGGCAGGAUUGAAUUGAGUGCCUGUGUGUGUGUGUGUGUGUGUGUGUGGACAGACACGAAACAGCCUUCCGAACCAAAGUCAGUCCAGGAGGGAAUGGGUGCGCCCCCACAGUCCUAAACACACACACUCACACACACACACCAGAGCCAGCUACAGUAGCAGCCAUGUUAGAACCCAUGGAAUCAGGGCAUUUACGAAGUGCACCUAGACACUACGGGACAGAAAGCAGAAGAAAGUUUCCCCCACCUUUUCUUUCGACUCAUUCCUAUUCUGGGUCAUCUGAUCUUGAGCAUUCAACGGGAAAAAACAAACAUAAUCAGACAUUGAAAACACAUAUCAGAUAAGUCCGCUUACGCAGGCUGAGGUUUUUAGCGUCUGCUGUCUUUGCCCUUCUCUCUCCCCACUCCCAUUACUUUAGCAGGAGAGAGGGGGGCAAGAGAACGAGAGCUAGCGAGAAGGGAGGGGGGAGUUUGAGUGCCGCCAAGUCCAGCCGGGUUUUCUGGACUGAGUGAACUGCAUACGAGGCAGGAAAUUUAUUUAUUGUUUUUUUUUUUUCUUCUUCUUUUUCCGUUUUCUGUUUGCUUUACAGUAGCGGUACAGUAAGCGACCUUAAAUGGAGAACUGCAAACGUCAGUGAGGGUGAAAAGGAAGGAAAGUGGUGGGAGAUACAGAGAAAGAGGGAAGGACAGAAUGAAAUGGGGGUUAAAAAAUAGCAAUGGAGGAGGAGAGCAGAAGGAACUCUGAUAAAGCAUGAAUAUGCAGUGUUGGUUCUGCAGCACUCUAGUGAGGUGUGGUUCUAGUUCAGAUAUUUUUGGCAUUUUUUUGGCUCGCUCGCUCUAUCAUUGUAGCAGGGCGGGAUUUGAGUGGGUGGGGUGGAUGGAUGGAAGCGUAGGGGAUUAAGCAAGGGAGAAAAAGAGAGAGAGAGAGGGCACGUGAGGGAAGCAGUGUGGAAGGGGUGGAGCUUUGUUUUUCUGCUUCACUUUCAUUGGCUGAGAGUAUGAAUUUGGGCAAUGCUGAAAUUCACAGGAUACGUUGGAGUAGCCACUCGUGAAGGACUGUGGAGCCUUCGUUUUGGAAAUAGUCACAGCAGAGUGAAGCUCAAAGUGCCGAAGUGCUUUAACGGACCACGUUUGACUGCAGGUUUGUUGGCGAGCAGAUAGAUUCUGCUUUUCUUUUGCUCUAUGCAGCUCUCUCUUUCUGAUCUUUCUUCCUCUCUCGCUUUCUCUUCCUGUGUGUUUAGUUGGAUUAUGUCUGCAUGAAGCUCCAGAAUGGCGUGAGAGUGCAUACAGAGUCUGCACGCUGGGGGAGGAGUGGAUUGUAUGUCACACUCACUCACUCCCUCGCUCCCUCCCUCUUUCUCUAUCUCUUUACUCCUCCCGCCCUGGAUUUUCUGCAUUUCUACCCUCCCACUCUCUCUCUCUCUAACUCUAGCUCGCUCUCUCUCUCUCAAGUGCAAGACCAUGUGGGACAUAUGAUGAGAAAGAGGCUCACCACACUGAGUCUCAUAUUUCAACAUUAGUCAGCCCCUCUCUCUCUUUCUCUCUCUCUCUCUCUCUCGCUCUCUUUCUGUCUUUUGCUCACUCACUUUCUCUCGCUCCCUUUCCUCACAUGCUCCCCUCUUUCCUCUACUUACUCCUCUCUUUAAGCUGUUCGCAAGGGGGAGACUGCAUGGAGCUCGCCAGAGAAAGCAAGUAAGGAAGGGAGGGAGGGAAAAAAGAGGCAGGAAAAAAAGGAGAGAGGGGAAAAAAAAACGUCGGCUGCUUUUUCUGCUGCUGCGAGGGCCUCCCCACCGGCGGGCCCAGCCAGAGAGGGAGGGCUUCCAGCUCUCCUAAGAGGAUUUAACCCUCUGUCUGCAGCAGCACGCUGCACUGCAGCCCACCCAAAACCCUGCCAACAAGUCACGCUUUCCAGCGCAUUGCUUCAAUUUUUUGUUUUGCCUUUUUUGCACGCGCCACUGUUUGCACAAUGGAAAUUUCGCUUUUGUUGUCGAUUUGAACUUUUUAAAAAAAUUGGCGGCUAUUUUCUUCAUGGUGUUUUUUGUAGUUUUCGAAGAGCGAUUUCGGACUGGGCGACACAGAGAGGCAGAUCUUUUUGCUUUUACGGAGGCAAGAGAUUCUGUAGGUAGGUUCUUAUCUGUCUGACUGGAGGGCACUCCGUGCUUUGGCCCAGGGUGGGCCUCCCCACGCCGCUUUCAGCUCGGCCUUAACACUCGUGGGAAAGCUAGCGUUGAAGCGCUUUUUGUUUCUUUACGUCGAGGAUAACGCUGCCCUAGCCUGCCAAAUAGUGCCAGGUACACGUUUUUGGAAGUACUGGCCCACUGCUGCCCUCCUCCUACCCUCUCUUUCAUUCCCUCUCCUCCUCCCUCCUUCUCAAUUCAGUCAAGGCUAGUAGUGUGCAGGAGCUCUGUCUGGGACAGGUGCCAAUUGCUCACAAAAGACUGAAAAAAAAAAAUUUGGGCCACAGGACGGAAAGUGGUGCACAGAUUUGCACUGUGAAAAUGUUACACAGGAACACGAGAGGGGGGCAAGCGAAAGGAGGGGAGCGUGGUUCCACUUCCGUGGGGCAGAUUUUUGGUUUUUGCUUGCACACUUGCUCCAAGAACUCGAGCAGAAUCCCCGCUGCUGCCGCCACCACCACUGCCUCCUUGGACUUGCUUCAGAAUACCAUGCUUUUCCAAGUUAGGACCUGAUGAUGGUUCAGAACUCAGGAGAAAAGGGAAAAAGAAGGACGAGAGAGAAAAGGCAUGACUGAGAGACGCAGAGCCGAGGGGAGGGGAAGAAGGAAAGAAGGAAAACGGAAGGAGGAGGAGGACGAGGGGGGGCCUUUUCCAGCCUGUUAAAUGUUCCUCAGGCCCAGCCAAAGCGAAGGCAGGAGCUGCAUGCUGAUUUGCAUGCAGCAGACAUGCUAAUUGUGUGUUUUCUAACAUGCUCCAUUCAUUGCAACGAGGCUGCGCUCCGCAGACGGGCUUCACACACGCCUCCCAGACACCCUCGUGGCCUCCUAUUGUUGCUGAGGCCCAGCCAGCCGCUUUAACACAGCCAGCGGAGCCUGCAGGCCUGGGCCCGGGCUCGCCGUGGAUCAGGGGGCUAACCUGGAGCUCUGGGCUGCUGCAGAGAGAGAGGAGAGUGGGCAAAUUCAGCUCGAGCCCCCCUCUCUGCUCUGGAUCUUCUCCAUCAUCUCCAGGCCUCCACAGCGAAUACGGCUUGGCAGAAGACGGCUGGGCGAAAAGCAGAGAGGCCUGCCGAAAUCCUGACGCGAACGCGUGCGCUUUUACAACCUCCAGGGUUAGAUUUGUGACUGAAGCUUAGAGCUCCUCUGCACACACUGACUGCUGGAGCAGAGCAAGGACACACACCCCUCCCCACAGAAAGUACAGGCAGAGACUACAAGUAACGGGACCUCAAAAUACACAGGAAAAAUUUAAUGACAGCUACAGCCUCCUGCAUUUCAGGUACUGUAUUGUAGGUAAGUAAUUGUUGUGUUUAGAGGUAUUUAAACACAGUGUGUAUCUAUUCUAAGUACUUUACUUUGUGUCACUGGAGCUCAGUGGUUAGAGUGCUGGUUAUAUAUUAUGGUUGUGGGUUUAAAAACAUGGGUCCACUAAUGCUCUGAUCCCAAGUUUCUUAAAUAGACUAUGCAGAGAGAUAUAUUUAAUUGUACUGUACUGUAAGUAAAUGCUGUAUUUAUGCUGUUCUCUUGUUGCUGUACACACAAAGCCCUCUUCCCGGCCUAAAACAGACCAGCAGCUGAUCAGGAGUGCAAUUCGCUGUCCUUUGGGGUGAGGUAGUAGGUUGUAUAGUUUUAGGGUCAUACCCUUCCUGUCAGAUAACUAUACAACUUACUGUCUUUCCUGAAGUGGCUAUAAUAUCAUCGCCAUGCACAAUGGGAUUCUCGAGAUGCAAAGCCACUCACGUGACCUGGGGUUGGACUGACUGUCUGUCAUGCAGCCUAAUUAGCCUGCAGUAUGUAUGUGAGUUGCUUGAAUUCAUAAAAAGCAGUUAUUAUGUGUCUUUAUGUCUCUCCAUACCCUGAGGCUGCGGCUGCACACUGCAGUGCUGGCUUAUAAUACCCGUUAUUGUGAUGCUUGUAUACUAUGGAACUCCUGGAAGCAGCUGUUUGAGUAGUUAGAAGAAGUGAGCAGACAGUAUAGUGAAUGAAUAUUCUGCAAACCCACUGUGCAUGCUUGUGUUGACUUGAAUGAUGCAUUCAGUGUCUGUAAUGAGUGUUGAACUAUUGUCCUAUUCAUGUUUAACUUUCAUCUUUUGCUUUGCAGGUUUGUAUUGAAAUUAUAUUGUUAGUUAGGCUAGUAGUUAGGCUUAACUACUGCACAUAACUAACUAUAUCAAGAAUAAAUGUUUUGGGUUUUUUUUUAUUUGUAGACAUUCAUAGACACCAAUAGAGAUGCUUCAGUGGACUGAAAGUUAAGUUCUUUCUUUCUCUUCUAUAAGGUCAGUUUAAAAAUGAAAGUUAAAUGCACAUGUCCAGCCUUGCGCCUUUUCUCUGUUCACCCUACGAGACAGUUCCUGAUGUUCGUACAGGGUGAGGUAGUAGGUUGUGUGGUUUCAGGGUAGUUAUUUUGCCCCAUCAGGAGAUAACUAUACAACCUACUGCCUUCCCUGGAGGGCAGCGAUACAACACCUAAUCACAAACAGGGGGUGACCGCCAACCUUCAUCUUUUCCACCAAGGUAUUUUAGGAACUUUUUACACUUGUUGCAUCUCUGAAUAUGAGUUCUGAAUAAGUUCCUGAUUGUGUGUUGACUUUAGAAGCUGGUAAGUGGCUCGUAAUCUAAAUGUUAAGAAAGGUGAGAUACACUAUAUUGCCACAAGUAUUCACUUACCCAUCUAAAUCAUGGAUUUCGGGUGUUGCAAUCACUUCCAUGUCCACAUGUGUGUAAAACCGAUCACCUAGACAUGCGGACUGUUUCUUCAAACAAUAAUAAAGGAAUGGGUUGCUCUUGGGAGCUCAUUUAAUUUCCUUCGGGGUACCAUGAUAGGAUGUCCCCUGUGCAACAUGUCCAGUAGUGAAAUCUUCUCACUAAUAAAAAAAAGUCCACAGUCAACUGUCAGUGAAACUAUAACAGUUUAAAGUGGAAGUGACUGGGAAUUACAACAACUCAGUUACAAAAAGAUAUAGACCACAUAAAAUUACACAGCGAGGUUGGGCGGAUGCUGUGGGCUGAGACACAUAGUGCACAGAGGUCACCAACUUUCUGCAGAGUCAGUCACUACAGACCUCCAAACCUCAUGUAGCCUUUAGAUCUCAAGAACAAUGCAUAUAGAGCUUUAUGUAAUUUUUUUUUUUAAACACACUCCGAAACCUUGUGAAAAGCCUUCUUCUUUGUGUAAAGAAGAGUUAAAGCUGUUAAAGCUGUUAUAGCUACAAAAAUGGUGGGUCGAUAAUAUAAUAAAGACUACAGAUUAAGAAUGGGAUGUCACUCAAGUUCAUAUGUGUGCAAAGGCAGACAAAAAAUACUUUUGGCAAUUUAGUGUAGCAGCAGAAGACAGUGUGUUUAAAUCACAUGAAUUCUUGGUUGUGCCCUUAGGCAAGACACUUAAUGUUCUGCUGCCACAGGUGGCACUGCAUAAUAGACAAUUUUCCUUCUAAGUGGAUCAUUAAAAUAUAGCUGAAUUAAGAUUUUUUAUGCAUGUAUGGUGCAUCAGUUAUCCUCGUUGAUUUUGUCUUCCCUUGCUUCUUUUUUGUAUGAAUCUCUUGGCUUUAAUUAAUUUUGUAAAUGCCAUGUAUGAAAAAUUAAUAAAUAAAGAUCAGGCCCAGUAAAAAAAAAAAAAAAGUAAAAGAAGUAGGUGCUGUACAGAUUGUAAUACUUGUUCUGCUCUGAAUAUCUGCUCUGUUCUAAUAGCAAGCCAACAAUAAAACAGUGUCAUUAAAGGUU
Astyanax mexicanus (Mexican tetra) is the source of this 8005-nucleotide long non-coding RNA. RefSeq lists it as uncharacterized. The record is from RefSeq and is a predicted model, not a curated record. Lineage: Eukaryota; Metazoa; Chordata; Actinopteri; Characiformes; Acestrorhamphidae. The transcript has 3 exons.